Molecule: long non-coding RNA, 327 nt
Organism: Tigriopus californicus
Lineage: Eukaryota; Metazoa; Arthropoda; Copepoda; Harpacticoida; Harpacticidae
Exons: 3
Source: RefSeq, a predicted model, not a curated record
GCUGGGUGAAGUGACAAGCUCGUGGCACUCUUCUCACAGGCGAAUUGAACUUAUUACACAGGUGUAAUGUAAAAUUCAUAGCCCCUGAGUGACCAGACCGUGAUUUGUGCGAGGCCCAUUGUUUCGCCUCUUGGUGGAGGGACAGAAGCUGUUUUCCCCUUUGUGGUUUGACCUCAAUUGACCAGCUGCUAAUUCUCGUCCUCUGCUUUGUCUCCACUCUGUUCCAAUUCGCGGCCCGUGGGUCGGAGUAGGUCGCGCUUAAUCCACGUAGAUAUUAUGAAUGACGAAAAGUGUUCCAUUUAUAAUUGGAACCAGGGAAGUCAUUGU